Molecule: long non-coding RNA, 1280 nt
Organism: Cyprinus carpio (common carp)
Lineage: Eukaryota; Metazoa; Chordata; Actinopteri; Cypriniformes; Cyprinidae
Source: RefSeq, a predicted model, not a curated record
CCGAAUCUCAAAUCCACCAUACCUUACGAACAUCCGGAAGUGAAUGAACCUGGAUAUGCGCAUUAAUGCUAGUCAGUACGGCGUGCACGCGUAUUUACAGUAAAUACAUAAACGUGACAUCACCACGUUACUGCCCGCGCACACGUCGACCAGAGGAGAGCGAGACCGCGCCCAUCAUCGCGCUUCAUCGGGAAAUCCUUGGCAGCGCUGCAUAGGAUUUGUUUAAGAAUGUGUCCAAAUAAGUGUUUUUGGAUGUGAGGGAAAGUUUACCGUGUUCAGCUUCACAAAGAACCCAUCGUUACACAAACAGUAGAUGCAGUUUGUUUUUCCUGGGCAGCAAAAGAGUGUAGCAAGUGCGUUUGAUGAAUGUUUUAUAAACAAGGCCUAGGUUGACGCUGGAUUUGCACAUCGUUUGCUAUUACAAUAUGGAGCGGUCCCAGGGAUAAAAGACCCCAUUUUCUGCAAAAUACAAUGAGUUCUGUGUGCCAUAUUCACUGACCCAGUGCCUAUGGUGCAGUGAGAUAUUUAAAGACUGUCCACCUGGGUAUGAGGGGAAUGAGUCCUGUGUGGGUUUUAUUCAUCCAAAGAAUUUGAGGGCUACUGCUCGGCUGACUGUUUUAUCAGUGAUGGAGGAGGUGGUGGUGUGCUGUUCUCCUGGACAACUUCACUCCGCAAAUCGCUCAACCACUGAGGGGAGGAGCUUCACCAUUCAAAAGGCAAUGCCUUCAGGGAGAGUAGCAGGUUAUUUGUGCACAUACAUUCAUUAAGAAGAACUAAUAAUUACAUAUGUGUGUACAUGCAGAGGUAAUUUUUUCUAGUUGUUACAGCUACAUAGUUGUUCAGAUAUGAAAUUGAAGGGAUUAUGUACAAGUACUAUAUUGGUCAGCACAGUGGAUCAUUUCAUAUAUAGCUAUCAGUUAACAUCAGCAUCAGAGACAUUUAAAAACAUUUAAAUGCGAGUGUAUGAAAUAACUUCUGUUUGCGAUCCAAUGUGGAUUCUGUUCACCAUAUAAGACAAAAGAUAUCCAUGUGGUUCAUACCAGCUGCUGUCAGGACUCCUUGUGCAUACAAAAAACUCACUGGGUUAUUACAAUUAAUGGCAAAAUGAAUGUUUGGAAAUGUAAACUGAUAUUUCCAACUGACACACUACAGCAAAAAGAUAGAAAAAAAUAGCUUAAAACCAUUUUUUCAGUGUGAAAAUACUAACAUGCCUAAGACUAUAUUUAAUAUUUUACUAGUAGUAUUAUAAAAUAAACAUAAAUCUUUAUUUUUUUUCUUAU